UACGAAGGGGGCUAGCGUUGCUCGGAAUCACUGGGCGUAAAGCGCACGUAGGCGGCUUUCUAAGUCAGGGGUGAAAUCCUGGAGCUCAACUCCAGAACUGCCUUUGAUACUGGAGAGCUUGAGUCCGGAAGAGGUGAGUGGAACUCCGAGUGUAGAGGUGAAAUUCGUAGAUAUUGGGAAGAACACCGAUGGCGAAGGCAGCCAUCUGGACCGACACUGACGCUGAGGCGCGAAAGCGUGGGGAGCAAACAGG
This 253-nucleotide ribosomal RNA is filed under the name uncultured bacterium. RNAcentral's name for it is "partial 16S ribosomal RNA". It matches the Rfam family "Bacterial small subunit ribosomal RNA", at positions 524 to 776 of the family's 1533-position model. The record is from RNAcentral.